Molecule: ribosomal RNA, 301 nt
Filed under: uncultured bacterium
Lineage: Bacteria
Description: partial 16S ribosomal RNA
Rfam family: Bacterial small subunit ribosomal RNA
Source: RNAcentral
CAGCAGCCGCGGGAAUACGGAGGGAGCUAGCGUUGUUCGGAAUUACUGGGCGUAAAGCGCACGUAGGCGGUUAUUUAAGUCAGAGGUGAAAGCCCAGUGCUCAACACUGGAACUGCCUUUGAAACUAGAUAACUCGAAUCCAGGAGAGGUGAGCGGAAUUCCGAGUGUAGAGGUGAAAUUCGUAGAUAUAUGGAGGAACACCGGUGGCGAAAGCGGCUCUCUGGUCUGUCACUGACGCUGAGGCUCGAAAGCGUGGGUAGCGAACAGGAUUAGAUACCCCCGUAGUCCCUGUCUCUUAUAC